GGGGGUGGAUGGGGCCUGGUGGCUUCCCCGGUCUUCAAAACCGCGUGGGGGGUGGGUCACACCCGCUCCCGGUGGGUUCGAUUCCCACACGCUCCCGCCA
Molecule: transfer RNA, 100 nt
Filed under: Chthonomonadales bacterium
Lineage: Bacteria; Bacillati; Armatimonadota; Chthonomonadia; Chthonomonadales
Description: tRNA-Sec
Rfam family: Selenocysteine transfer RNA
Source: RNAcentral